GAUGAACGCUAGCGAUAGGCCUAACACAUGCAAGUCGAGGGGCAUCACAUGAAGUAGCAAUACGGAUGGUGGCGACCGGCGCACGGGUGAGUAACACGUAUGCAACCUGCCUUCAACAAGGGGAUAACCCGUUGAAAGACGGACUAAUACCCUAUAACACAGGGGUCCCGCAUGGGGAAUAUUUGUUAAAGGACAACCGGUUGAAGAUGGGCAUGCGUUCCAUUAGCUAGUUGGCGGGGUAACGGCCCACCAAGGCAACGAUGGAUAGGGGAACUGAGAGGUUUAUCCCCCACACUGGUACUGAGACACGGACCAGACUCCUACGGGAGGCAGCAGUGAGGAAUAUUGGUCAAUGGACGCAAGUCUGAACCAGCCACGUCGCGUGAAGGAAGACGGCCCUACGGGUUGUAAACUUCUUUUGCAAGGGAAUAAAGUGGGCCACGUGUGGCCUUUUGCAAGUACCUUGCGAAUAAGGAUCGGCUAACUCCGUGCCAGCAGCCGCGGUAAAUCACUAUCCGA
This 519-nucleotide ribosomal RNA is filed under the name uncultured bacterium. RNAcentral describes it as "bacterial SSU rRNA". It matches the Rfam family "Bacterial small subunit ribosomal RNA", at positions 28 to 537 of the family's 1533-position model. The record is from RNAcentral.